UACGUAGGGUGCAAGCGUUAAUCGGAAUUACUGGGCGUAAAGCGUGCGUAGGCGGUUCGCUAAGACCGAUGUGAAAUCCCCGGGCUUAACCUGGGAACUGCAUUGGUGACUGGCGGGCUAGAGUAUGGCAGAGGGGGGUAGAAUUCCACGUGUAGCAGUGAAAUGCGUAGAGAUGUGGAGGAAUACCGAUGGCGAAGGCAGCCCCCUGGGCCAAUACUGACGCUCAUGCACGAAAGCGUGGGGAGCAAACAGG
Molecule: ribosomal RNA, 253 nt
Filed under: uncultured bacterium
Lineage: Bacteria
Description: partial 16S ribosomal RNA
Rfam family: Bacterial small subunit ribosomal RNA
Source: RNAcentral